This 253-nucleotide ribosomal RNA is filed under the name uncultured bacterium. Its description in RNAcentral is "partial 16S ribosomal RNA". It matches the Rfam family "Bacterial small subunit ribosomal RNA", at positions 524 to 776 of the family's 1533-position model. The record is from RNAcentral.
UACGUAGGGUGCGAGCGUUGUCCGGAAUUAUUGGGCGUAAAGAGCUCGUAGGCGGUCUGUCGCGUCGGAUGUGAAAGCCCGGGGCUUAACCCCGGGUCUGCAUUCGAUACGGGCAGACUAGAGUGUGGUAGGGGAGAUCGGAAUUCCUGGUGUAGCGGUGAAAUGCGCAGAUAUCAGGAGGAACACCGGUGGCGAAGGCGGGUCUCUGGGCCGUAACUGACGCUGAGGAGCGAAAGCGUGGGGAGCGAACAGG